This 912-nucleotide ribosomal RNA is filed under the name Trachelomonas sp. RNAcentral's name for it is "partial large subunit ribosomal RNA". It matches the Rfam family "Eukaryotic large subunit ribosomal RNA", at positions 41 to 565 of the family's 3401-position model. The record is from RNAcentral. Lineage: Eukaryota; Euglenozoa; Euglenophyceae; Euglenales; Euglenaceae.
AUUCACUCAGUGAAGGAAGAACAAGCAACUGCGAUUGCUUCAGUAAUGGCGAAUGAACUGGCAACAGACAGGCUCAGCCUGAAUGGAAUCCAGCUGCACCAGUGGUGCACCCGGCUUGUGUGAGAUUCAGCAGAUGCUGUGGGUUGAUGAAGCAGGUGGUGAGUCUGGUCAGGCCAUGCACCAAGAAUGUCCCUGGAAUGGGGCAACUACAAAAGGAUACUGUCCUGUAUGGUGCUGUGUGCUGUGGUCUGGCUUGGCUAUGCUGCUUGCAUUCAAGAGUAGAGUUKGCUGGGACUGCAGUUUGAAGAGUGUGGUGUAUCCUACACAAGGCAGAAUACUGACAUGGAACCGAUAGAGCACAAGUAGAGUGAUUGAAGGAUGCAAAGCACCUUGCAAAGGGGGUUCAAUGUCCCUGAAGCCUCAACAGGAACGGCGGAGAGUGGUGCUGUGGUUAUCUGGUCGCCAUCAGGCAGCCAGUCCCAGUUGGACCUGGUCCCUGACCAUCCACUGGCUGGUUCUGUCCUGAGACCAGGGUCUCCCUGUCACAGGGGACCAACAUUGGAAUCCAAGCAACCUUGGGCUGGCCCAGAGCUGGUCACUGAGCUCCAUCCAGGAUGUUGGAAUGCCUAUCGUGACAGUUUGUGGUGACACUCAGCUUACCUGAGCCUGAGGGCAGACAGAUCAGUGAAGUCACAUCACAGCAAGAGUCCAUCUCCAAGAGGAGACUGUGUGUGAAGAGCCAUGCCAAACCUGCUUUGUCUCCGGACAUUGCAGUGCAUUGUGCCUUGAUAUGUUGAAGCCAUSCAUGCUSCUGUUGGCUGCACCAUCCUGAUGGUGGCUCACUGGUGGUGGAGCUUUGCAGAGAGUGUGCAGUGCAGAUGGCAGUUGAGCUGUCUCAGACCMCUUUGCCKU